Molecule: ribosomal RNA, 463 nt
Filed under: uncultured bacterium
Lineage: Bacteria
Description: bacterial SSU rRNA
Rfam family: Bacterial small subunit ribosomal RNA
Source: RNAcentral
CCAGACUCCUACGGGAGGCAGCAGUGAGGAAUAUUGGUCAAUGGGAGAGAUCCUGAACCAGCCAAGCCGCGUGAGGGAAGACGGCCCUAUGGGUUGUAAACCUCUUUUGUCGGAGAACAAAACCCGGGACGUGUCCCGGACUGCGUGUAUCCGAAGAAAAAGCAUCGGCUAACUCCGUGCCAGCAGCCGCGGUAAUACGGAGGAUGCGAGCGUUAUCCGGAUUUAUUGGGUUUAAAGGGUGCGCAGGCGGAAGAUCAAGUCAGCGGUAAAAUUUCGGGGCUCAACCCCGUCGUGCCGUUGAAACUGGCGUUCUUGAGUGAGCGAGAAGUAUGCGGAAUGCGUGGUGUAGCGGUGAAAUGCAUAGAUAUCACGCAGAACUCCGAUUGCGAAGGCAGCAUACCGGCGCUCAACUGACGCUCAUGCACGAAAGCGUGGGUAUCGAACAGGAUUAGAUACCCUAGUA